UACGAAGGGGGCUAGCGUUGUUCGGAAUUACUGGGCGUAAAGCGCACGUAGGCGGAUUUGUUAGUCAGGGGUGAAAUCCCGGGGCUCAACCUCGGAACUGCCUUUGAUACUGCAAGUCUCGAGUCCGGAAGAGGUGAGUGGAAUUCCUAGUGUAGAGGUGAAAUUCGUAGAUAUUAGGAAGAACACCAGUGGCGAAGGCGGCUCACUGGCCCGGUACUGACGCUGAGACGCGAAAGCGUGGGGAGCAAACAGG
Molecule: ribosomal RNA, 253 nt
Filed under: uncultured bacterium
Lineage: Bacteria
Description: partial 16S ribosomal RNA
Rfam family: Bacterial small subunit ribosomal RNA
Source: RNAcentral